GCGGGCGUAGCUCAGUGGUAGAGCAUCUGCUUCCCAAGCAGAGGGUCGUGGGUUCAACUCCCAUCGCCCGCUCCA
This 75-nucleotide transfer RNA is filed under the name Candidatus Segetimicrobium genomatis. Its description in RNAcentral is "Terrabacteria group bacterium ANGP1 tRNA-Gly". It matches the Rfam family "tRNA". Rfam says of the family: Transfer RNA (tRNA) molecules are approximately 80 nucleotides in length. The record is from RNAcentral. Lineage: Bacteria; Bacillati; Candidatus Sysuimicrobiota; Candidatus Sysuimicrobiia; Candidatus Sysuimicrobiales; Candidatus Segetimicrobiaceae.